This 1447-nucleotide ribosomal RNA is filed under the name Scrippsiella trochoidea. RNAcentral's name for it is "eukaryotic LSU rRNA". The stretch from base 613 to 1447 matches the Rfam family "Eukaryotic large subunit ribosomal RNA", at positions 1 to 840 of the family's 3401-position model. Lineage: Eukaryota; Dinophyceae; Peridiniales; Peridiniaceae. The record is from RNAcentral.
GUCGUAACAAGGUUUCCGUAGGUGAACCUGCGGAAGGAUCAUUCGCACGCAUCCAAUCAAUACCACUGUGAAUUUUUGGCGUGAGGUUCUGCUUGGGGAUGGAGAUUGCAUCAAUACCCCCUUGCAGAAGCUCAAAGGCGGCAGGGCUGGAUGGGUGCUUGUCACCUCCUUUCAGUUCCUGUCGUCACCACCCUUUUGCCUUUAUGUUUGCUUUGCAUUCUUAUCUUUCGAAGUGGUUGCCCACUUUCUUGUUUACAACUUUCAGCGAUCGAUGUCUCGGCUCGAACAACGAUGAAGGGCGCAGCGAAGUGUGAUAAGCAUUGUGAAUUGCAGGAUUCCGUGAACCAAUAGGGACUUGAACGUACACUGCGCUUUCGGGAUAUCCCUGAAAGCAUGCCUGCUUCAGUGUCCAUUUCCUUUAUUCCAGCAACACCUUCCACUUUUGUGGUAGCGUUGCUUGGGUGUGCUUGUGCGUCAAAGUGCCUUGCUGCCUCUGACGUGUUCAACACAUGGGUUUUUCUUCUUGGCACACUACUUGCUAAACAUCUCUGAUGUAACUUGUUGCUGUGCUUUGGAGCAAUCCCUUUGAUGUAUUGUAUUUCAUACAUGCGAAGACAUGAAGUUAGGUCAGCAAACCCGCUGAAUUUAAGCAUAUAAGUAAGCGGAGGAAAAGAAACUAAAUAGGAUUCCCUCAGUAAUGGCGAAUGAACAGGGAUGAGCUCAGUAUGGAAAUUGGGGCCUGUGGCCUUGAAUUGUAGUCUGGAGAUGUACCACCAACUGGGGCGCAGAUGUAAGCCUCUUGGAAAAGAGCAUCAAUGAGGGUGAGAGUCCCGCUUGGCAUCUGCAGUCCCCAGUGCACGGUGUACCUUCUAAGAGUCACGUUCCUCGGGAUUGGAGCGCAAAUCGGGUGGUAAGUUUCAUCUAAAGCUAAAUAUAGUUUCGAGACCGAUAGCAAACAAAUACCAUGAGGGAAAGGUGAAAAGGACUUUGAAAAGAGAGUUAAAAGUGCCUGAAAUUGCUGAAAGGGAAGCGAAUGGAACCAGCGUAACUUGGCGAGAUUGCUGCGUGUCAAUGUGAUUGCUUGCUGCUUCAACGUAAGUGUCGUAGUAAGUUUUGAGCAGGACAUGCGUGGUGCUUCUUGCCUUGUGUGUCACCGUCAGUUCGCAACUGGGGAAAACUUCAGGGACAUGGUAGCCUGUCUCCGGGUGGGUGAACGUGUUUGCUGGAACUCAUUUGUGGAUUGCUUGGUGACUAAAUGGUUCCAUCUGACCCGUCUUGAAACACGGACCAAGGAGUCUAACAUAUGUGCAAGUUCACGGGUGUUAAACCUGCUUGCGUAAUGAAAGUGACUGCUGGGAUCUUUGCACCAGCAACCGACCAAUCAAUUGAGAGAGGUUUGAGUAUGAGCAUAUCUGUUAGGACCCGAAAGAUGGUGAACUAUGCGUGA